RNAcentral lists this unclassified non-coding RNA (253 nucleotides) under uncultured Bacteroidia bacterium. Its description in RNAcentral is "contains 16S-23S intergenic spacer region". It matches the Rfam family "Bacterial small subunit ribosomal RNA", at positions 524 to 776 of the family's 1533-position model. The record is from RNAcentral. Lineage: Bacteria; Pseudomonadati; Bacteroidota; Bacteroidia.
UACGGAGGAUCCAAGCGUUAUCCGGAAUCAUUGGGUUUAAAGGGUGCGUAGGCGGGAAGCUAAGUCAGUGGUGAAAUCUCUCGGCUCAACCGAGAAACUGCCAUUGAUACUGGUUUUCUUGAAUUUGAUUGAAGUGGGCGGAAUAUGACAUGUAGCGGUGAAAUGCUUAGAUAUGUCCUAGAACACCGAUAGCGAAGGCAGCUCACUAAGUCAACAUUGACGCUGAGGCACGAAAGCGUGGGGAGCGAACAGG